This 300-nucleotide ribosomal RNA is filed under the name uncultured Sporolactobacillaceae bacterium. RNAcentral's name for it is "bacterial SSU rRNA". It matches the Rfam family "Bacterial small subunit ribosomal RNA", at positions 496 to 795 of the family's 1533-position model. The record is from RNAcentral. Lineage: Bacteria; Bacillati; Bacillota; Bacilli; Caryophanales; Sporolactobacillaceae.
GUUACCUUCGGGCCAGACGCGGCGGUAAUACGUAGGUGGGUAGCGGUACGCGUGAUCACUAGGCGUAACGCGCAGGUAUGCGGUUCGGUAAGUAUUGUGGGAGAGCUGCCGGCUGAACUGGGUGAGGUCAAGGGAAACUACCGGGCUAGAGGGUGGCAGAGGAUGCUGGAAUUCCCGGUGGAGCGGUGAAAUGCGUAGAUAUCGUGAGGAACACCUAUGGCGAAAGCAGGCAUCUGGGCUAUCUCUGACGCUGAGCUGCGAAAGCUAGGGGAGCAAACAGGAUUAGAUACCCUGGUAGUC